Molecule: ribosomal RNA, 1472 nt
Filed under: metagenome
Description: bacterial LSU rRNA
Rfam family: Bacterial large subunit ribosomal RNA
Source: RNAcentral
GUGAGGUAGCUCAUCCCCGGUGAUGGUUGUCCGGGGCUAAGUGUGUGGACUGUCUGGUAGGUAAAUCCGCUGGGCGUGAAGGUUGAGGCAUGAUGGGGAGCCCAUGGUUGUGGGUGAGUGAGUGAUCCUGUACUGUCGAGAAAAGCUUCGUGAGCGAGGUGGCGGGUCCGCCCGUACCCUAAACCGACACUGGUGGAUAGGUAGAGUAUACCGAGGCGAUCGAGUGAAUCGUGGUGAAGGAACUCGGCAAAAUGCCCCCGUAACUUUGGGAUAAGGGGGACCUGAGCUGUCGUGCACCCGUGCGGUGUGGUGGCGGUGAGGGGCGCAGAGUCCAGGGGGAAACGACUGUUUACCAAAAACACAGGUCCGUGCGAAGUCGUAAGACGAUGUAUACGGACUGACUCCUGCCCGGUGCUGGAAGGUUAAGGGGAACUGUGAGUGUAUGCGUAGCGGUGAACUUAAGCCCCAGUAAACGGCGGUGGUAACUAUAACCAUCCUAAGGUAGCGAAAUUCCUUGUCGGGUAAGUUCCGACCUGCACGAAUGGAGUAACGAUUUCCCUACUGUCUCCACCAUGAACUCGGUGAAAUUGCAUUACGAGUAAAGAUGCUCGUUACGCGCAGCAGGACGGAAAGACCCCGGGACCUUUACUAUAGUUUGGUAUUGGUGAUUGGGACGGUUUGUGUAGGAUAGGUGGGAGACGUUGAUGCGGCCACGCUAGUGGUGGUGGAGUCGUUGGUGAAAUACCACUCUGAUUGUUCUGGUUAUCUCACUGUGGACCGUGAUCCGGUUCAAGGACAGUGCCUGAUGGGUAGUUUGACUGGGGCGGUCGCCUCCUAAAGGGUAACGGAGGCGCCCAAAGGUUCCCUCAGCCUGGUUGGUAAUCAGGUGGUGAGUGUAAGUGCACAAGGGGGCUUGACUGUGAGACUGACAGGUCGAGCAGGGACGAAAGUCGGGACUAGUGAUCUGACGGUGGCUUGUGGAUGCGCCGUCACUCAACGGAUAAAAGGUACCCCGGGGAUAACAGGCUGAUCUUGCCCGAGCGCUCAUAGCGACGGCAUGGUUUGGCACCUCGAUGUCGGCUCGUCGCAUCCUGGGGCUGGAGUCGGUCCCAAGGGUUGGGCUGUUCGCCCAUUAAAGCGGCACGCGAGCUGGGUUCAGAACGUCGUGAGACAGUUCGGUCCCUAUCCGCUGCGCGCGGAGGAAUCUUGAGAAGGGCUGUCUUUAGUACGAGAGGACCGAGACGGACUGACCUCUGGUGUGCCAGUUGUUCUGCCAAGAGCAUGGCUGGUUGGCUACGUCGGGUUGUGAUAACCGCUGAAAGCAUCUAAGCGGGAAGCACGCUUCAAGAUAAGGGUUCCCACAGGAGUGUUCCUGGUAAGGUCCCCGAGAGAUGAUCGGGUUGAUAGGCCAGACGUGGACGCAUCGUAAGGUGUGGAGCUGACUGGUACUAAUAGACCGAGGACUUUCAUUA